GGUUCACAUGCAUCAAGAAAAAUAUAAGAAUUAGCUAUCAAUUCAAAGUGAAAUUAAUCAUAUCUAGACAUCUAAGUUUCACAUAUAAAUUCUUUUCAUGAUUCAAAAAUAGAAUUGAUCCGAGAUCCCACACAAAAUAACAACUACCCAUCUUUAGAAUUUAUAUACAAACUGGAGAAAAGAAAAGACAAGGCAUACAUUGUCAAGGAAACCAUAGGGCAUCAUCAUUCAUGAGGUUGCGUUAAAUGCUACACUGCAUUAAAAUAAAAUCAUAUAGGCUAACCAGUAACUACCUUUUG
RNAcentral lists this long non-coding RNA (299 nucleotides) under Capsicum annuum. Its description in RNAcentral is "long non-coding RNA (CANN_LNC010147)". Lineage: Eukaryota; Viridiplantae; Streptophyta; Magnoliopsida; Solanales; Solanaceae. The record is from RNAcentral.